AGAUUUACCUGGACGGGGUCUAUGGCCGAUCAAGAAGGGUCAUGGCCUAGGCUAGUGGCCCACAUUGCACUUAGUGGGUGCGCUGGCUUACCAUCUCCCCAAGUGGGAGAGUGGACGUCAUAAUUGUGGUAGGGGGAGUACGCGUUCUCGCGGCCCCUG
Molecule: small nuclear RNA, 159 nt
Filed under: Oryza meridionalis
Lineage: Eukaryota; Viridiplantae; Streptophyta; Magnoliopsida; Poales; Poaceae
Description: snRNA U1
Rfam family: U1 spliceosomal RNA
About the family: U1 is a small nuclear RNA (snRNA) component of the spliceosome (involved in pre-mRNA splicing). Its 5' end forms complementary base pairs with the 5' splice junction, thus defining the 5' donor site of an intron. There are significant differences in sequence and secondary structure between metazoan and yeast U1 snRNAs, the latter being much longer (568 nucleotides as compared to 164 nucleotides in human).
Source: Rfam by way of RNAcentral